This 1438-nucleotide ribosomal RNA is filed under the name uncultured organism. RNAcentral describes it as "16S ribosomal RNA". It matches the Rfam family "Bacterial small subunit ribosomal RNA". The record is from RNAcentral.
CAGGCUUAACACAUGCAAGUCGAGGGGCAGCAUGGUCUUAGCUUGCUAAGGCCGAUGGCGACCGGCGCACGGGUGAGUAACGCGUAUCCAACCUGCCUUACACUCUUGGACAGCCUUCUGAAAGGGAGAUUAAUACAAGAUGUUAUCAUGAGUAAGCAUUUUCGCAUGAUUAAAGGUUUACCGGUGUAAGAUGGGGAUGCGUUCCAUUAGAUAGUAGGCGGGGUAACGGCCCACCUAGUCUUCGAUGGAUAGGGGUUCUGAGAGGAAGGUCCCCCACAUUGGAACUGAGACACGGUCCAAACUCCUACGGGAGGCAGCAGUGAGGAAUAUUGGUCAAUGGACGAGAGUCUGAACCAGCCAAGUAGCGUGAAGGAUGAAGGUUCUAUGGAUUGUAAACUUCUUUUAUACGGGAAUAAACGAAUCCACGUGUGGAUUUUUGCAUGUACCGUAUGAAUAAGGAUCGGCUAACUCCGUGCCAGCAGCCGCAGUAAUACGGAGGAUCCGAGCGUUAUCCGGAUUUAUUGGGUUUAAAGGGAGCGUAGAUGGGUUGUUAAGUCAGUUGUGAAAGUUUGCGGCUCAACCGUAAAAUUGCAAUUGAUACUGGCAGUCUUGAGUACAGUUGAGGUAGGCGGAAUUCGUGGUGUAGCGGUGAAAUGCUUAGAUAUCACGAAGAACUCCGAUUGCGAAGGCAGCUUACUAACCUGUAACUGACAUUGAUGCUCGAAAGUGUGGGUAUCAAACAGGAUUAGAUACCCUGGUAGUCCACACGGUAAACGAUGAAUACUCGCUGUAGGCGAUAUACAGUCUGCGGCCAAGCGAAAGCAUUAAGUAUUCCACCUGGGGAGUACGCCGGCAACGGUGAAACUCAAAGGAAUUGACGGGGGCCCGCACAAGCGGAGGAACAUGUGGUUUAAUUCGAUGAUACGCGAGGAACCUUACCCGGGCUUAAAUUGCAACCGAAUAUGGCGGAAACGCUAUAGCUAGCAAUAGCGGUUGUGAAGGUGCUGCAUGGUUGUCGUCAGCUCGUGCCGUGAGGUGUCGGCUUAAGUGCCAUAACGAGCGCAACCCUUGCCGAUAGUUACUAACAGGUCAUGCUGAGGACUCUGUCGGGACUGCCAUCGUAAGAUGUGAGGAAGGUGGGGAUGACGUCAAAUCAGCACGGCCCUUACGUCCGGGGCUACACACGUGUUACAAUGGGGGGUACAGAGGGCUGCUACCACGCAAGUGGAUGCCAAUCCCAAAAACCUCUCUCAGUUCGGAUUGAAGUCUGCAACCCGACUUCAUGAAGCUGGAUUCGCUAGUAAUCGCGCAUCAGCCACGGCGCGGUGAAUACGUUCCCGGGCCUUGUACACACCGCCCGUCAAGCCAUGGGAGCCGGGGGUACCUGAAGUGCGUAACCGCAAGGAGCGCCCUAGGGUAAAACUGGUGACUGGGGCUA